AUAAACAUUAUUAAUGCUUUUAAUAAAGUUAGAAGCUUUUUUUGAUAUUUCUUU
Molecule: transfer RNA, 54 nt
Filed under: Plateros sp. UPOL A00502
Lineage: Eukaryota; Metazoa; Arthropoda; Insecta; Coleoptera; Lycidae
Description: partial tRNA-Ser
Source: RNAcentral